UACAGAGGUGGCAAGCGUUGUUCGGAAUUACUGGGCGUAAAGGGCGCGUAGGCGGUCAGGUCAGUCCCGUGUGAAAUCCCUCGGCUCAACUGAGGAACUGCACGGGAAACUGCCUGGCUCGAGUUCGGGAGAGGGAAGCGGAAUUCCGGGUGUAGCGGUGAAAUGCGUAGAUAUCCGGAGGAACACCGGUGGCGAAGGCGGCUUCCUGGACCGACACUGACGCUGAGGCGCGAAAGCUAGGGGAGCAAACGGG
This 253-nucleotide ribosomal RNA is filed under the name uncultured bacterium. RNAcentral's name for it is "partial 16S ribosomal RNA". It matches the Rfam family "Bacterial small subunit ribosomal RNA", at positions 524 to 776 of the family's 1533-position model. The record is from RNAcentral.